CAUGGCGCCACUGCUGGCUCAAAUGCCUAAUCUCGUCUGAUCUCUGAAGCUAAGCAGCGUCGGGCCUGGUUAGUACUUGGAUGGGAAACCAGCUAGGAAUACUAAGUGAUGCAACCU
Molecule: ribosomal RNA, 117 nt
Filed under: Cebus imitator (Panamanian white-faced capuchin)
Lineage: Eukaryota; Metazoa; Chordata; Mammalia; Primates; Cebidae
Source: RNAcentral